AUAAUCUAGUAAUGUCGAGGCCUGCACAAACGGUGGAGCAGUUGGUUUAAUUAGAUGCAACGCGAGGAACAUUACCAGAUCUUGACAUCCACAGAACUUGCCAGAGAUGGAUUGGUGCCUUCGGGAACUGUGAGACAGGUGCUGCAUGGCUGUCGUCAGCUCGUGUUGUGAAAUGUUGGGUUAAGUCCCGCAACGAGCGCAACCCUUAUCCUUUGUUGCCAGCGGUCCGGCCGGGAACUCAAAGGAGACUGCCAGUGAUAAACUGGAGGAAGGUGGGGAUGACGUCAAGUCAUCAUGGCCCUUACGACCAGGGCUACACACGUGCUACAAUGGCGCAUACAAAGAGAAGCGACCUCGCGAGAGCAAGCGGUCCUCAUAAAGUGCGUCGUAGUCCGGAUUGGAGUCUGCAACUCGACUCCAUGAAGUCGGAAUCGCUAGUAAUCGUAGAUCAGAAUUCUACGGUGAAUACGUUCCCGGGCCUUGUCCCCCCCGCCCGUUCCACCAACCCAUUGGGAAGUGGGUUGCAAAGAAAGUUUAGGGUGGGCUAAACCGUUCGGGAGGGCGCUUCAA
Molecule: ribosomal RNA, 570 nt
Filed under: Enterobacter cloacae
Lineage: Bacteria; Pseudomonadati; Pseudomonadota; Gammaproteobacteria; Enterobacterales; Enterobacteriaceae
Description: bacterial SSU rRNA
Rfam family: Bacterial small subunit ribosomal RNA (bases 17-481)
Source: RNAcentral